This 64-nucleotide transfer RNA is filed under the name Dipodomys ordii (Ord's kangaroo rat). It matches the Rfam family "tRNA". From Rfam's summary of the family: Transfer RNA (tRNA) molecules are approximately 80 nucleotides in length. Their secondary structure includes four short double-helical elements and three loops (D, anti-codon, and T loops). Further hydrogen bonds mediate the characteristic L-shaped molecular structure. tRNAs have two regions of fundamental functional importance: the anti-codon, which is responsible for specific mRNA codon recognition, and the 3' end, to which the tRNAs corresponding amino acid is attached (by aminoacyl-tRNA synthetases). tRNAs cope with the degeneracy of the genetic code in two manners: having more than one tRNA (with a specific anti-codon) for a particular amino acid; and 'wobble' base-pairing, i.e. permitting non-standard base-pairing at the 3rd anti-codon position. The record is from Rfam by way of RNAcentral. Lineage: Eukaryota; Metazoa; Chordata; Mammalia; Rodentia; Heteromyidae.
GAGAAGUUGGCUCAGUGGUAGAGUGCUUGCCUUGCAUGCAUGAAGCCCUGAGUUUGAUUCCUCA